GUGUGCCAAUGAUUGUUGGAUAAUCCCAUUUCUUCUCUGUCUCUUGUGAGGUGUCAGGCUGCAAGUGUCAUUGUACAUACCUUAUAUUACGAUUUGUCAUAUGAAUUGUUUGAAAAUCUUAUUGGGACGUGAGGAAUUCACAGCCCUACCAUCCCUUAUUCUAUCUUUUCUUCACUUAUUUCCUAAUUAAUUUCAUUUGUUGGGAGUAUUUACUAUUUAGUGCCCGUUUAAAUUUUACAUGUGUUUCCUAAUCUUGGCUCGUGGUGUGCAACAAAGACACUGCUAAGGUAGUUUUGGUAACGGUAGAAGGAAGUGAAUGCAGGAAGGAGGCCCUUGUUGCGUCUGUGACAGUAAUGAAAUCCGCAAGGAUGGGAGCCCGUGUUACGCGGUGGCCUGCUCAAAAAUUUAUUUGAACUAAAAAAACCCCACCCAGGCCUGUUAAAAAAAAUUUGAACAAAAUAUAAAGAAUGUCUUUCCGCAGCAGUUCUUUUUUACAAAAAACCAAAAUCCAAAAUUCUAAGAUUAUAAUUUUUUUAAAUUAUUUUUUAUUUAAUUAAAUAACAUCUGAGUUGGGUAUAUCAAGAUUAUUUUAAAUUAUGAUAAAUUCACCAAUAUCAAAAUGAAAUAAUAUAACUCAAUUUAAAAUAAAUAAAAUAUGAAAUUAAAAAAAAUGAAAAAACAAAAACAAAAAGCUCAUGGGUGUGCUUGGCCCAAUGCGCCAUUGACCUAUUUAAUAUUUUUCUUUUAGAGAUGGAUGAUGCUUUGUUUUUUUUUUAUAAGAAAACAGUAGACAACCUGUCAAUUACUGCAAUAGUUUCUAGCCAUUACAGGUGGUCGAAUAAUCAGAUAGUCAUCUCCUAGAUAUAAAAAAACCCUCUUUGAUCCCUUUUUUUUAAAAAUUUUCUAGUGAAAAAAAAAAAAAAACCCUAAGAAACAUCUCAAGGAGUUCAAAAACCUAUUUUUGGUAUUAAAUCACCAUUUAAUUGGUUUUUUAAAAAAACCCAAUUUAAAAAAAAUCUUAAAGAUUGAUCUAAUUUUUUUAGCAAGAUAAAUGGCAAAGUAGACUUAAAUAGAACUCUCUUUAUAAAAUAAAACCUAUGAACAACAAGAACGACGAGUCUUAUCACUAAAAAAUAUCAGUUUCUAAACUUUCUCUCAUCUUUAGUGUAACCGGACCACUCUCUUCCUUUCCCUUUUCUGUCAUGAAAAAAAAAAAAAAGUUUUGGGACAAAAUGUAAAAAACUCAUAAAAGAGGCACUAAAAUUAAAAAAAAUUGAAAAAAAACUUCUAGGACUAAAAAUACUAAAAACACACCUCAACUACAGUAAAAAAAAAAAUUGCUGGGGACUUUGUUCAAUGAAAAAAAAAACUCAUGAUACUAUUACAAUUUACAAUAAUCUAGUGAGCGAACAAUAAAAUCCAAAAACAUCAAGAAAAUUAAGUUUAUAUUAAAAUGUAAAAACUCAUAAAGAGGGCUUAAGAUAAAAAAAAAAUUUGAGGGAGUAAAAAUGCUAAGAACACGCCUCAGCUACAGUAGCAAAAAAAUAGCCUGGAACUUUGUUCAAUUAUCAAAUUUGAUUCUUGAGACAAAUUGAAACAAAUCAUUAACCCAAACCUUCAAAAAACCAAAAUCAGAAGGAUCAAAUAAAAAAAUAAAUUAAGUGACCAAAAAAUUAAAGGAUGAAAAAAAAAAACACACUUAUAACACAUUCACGGUACACAAUAAUUUUAUGCCUGAGUGAACAGUAAAAUCCAAGAAUUAAUUUAGUUUUAUUUGUAAGAAGAAAUUAUUUCAUUAUGCAUGCUUGCAAAAUCAACUUUUGGUCCUUAGGAAGUGUGAUAUCAUAAACAUUUCCUGGAGUCUGGAAUAAAUAAUUAAUUAAUAGGAUAAAUCAUAUUUCGCAUUUAUUGAUUCAGAAAUAUUGUUUCAUUUCUGAUCAUAUAGCUUGAAAUUUCUGUUAAUAUAGUUUUUACGUUUUGAAGGAUUUCUGCCGGUUGUCAUCAUAUUUGCUAGGGGUGAUAAAAAAAACUGAAAAACCUAUUAAAUCGAGAAAACCAGAAAAAAAUUAAUCGAAAAAACCGAACCGAAAAAAAAACCGAUUAAACCGAUUAAAAUUUUAAAAAAACCGGCCGGUUCGGUUCGGUUUCGGUUUUAUAAGCAAAAAACCGAACCGAACCGAAACCGAAAAAAACCGAGCAAAAACCGAGCCAAACUGAAAAAACCGAGAAAACCGAGCCAAACCGGAAAAACCAAGGCAAACCGGUUUGAACCGGUUUUUGCCCUAAAAAACCGAACCGAACUGAAACCGGUCGGUUUGACCCGGUUUCGGUUCGGUUUCGGUUUUUUUUUUUUAAAACAAUUUCGGUUUGGUUAUUUUUUUUGAUAAAAACCGAACCGAACCGAAAAUAAUAUGUAUAGGUCUUGAGAAAAAGAAAUCACCAUGGACCUUUAUGCUCCUUGGAGCUGAGAUGAUUAUGGCCGAGCCAUUGUGUUCUUCCCAGAAGAUGUGUACGAACAAGUCCACACACACACAUAUUAUAAGCUCCUUCUUUCACGUUACGUGGGCGUGUGCCAUUUUGGAUCAAAUGAGAAAUUAAUAAAGCUAUGAAAUUUUAAUAUUUACUUUUGAAAACAAAUAAAAAACACUGGUACAGUUCAUGAUACAAGGUAUUGGAUAUAAAAUGGGGAUUUUUAUUUUUUAUAAUUCAGUUUCGAGAUUCAAUUCAGGUUUAGUAAUUAAUUAUAAUUACCAGGCAGAAACCAGAAUGAAAUGAUGAUAUUUUUUCUUUUAGAUAUUGUUGCUAGGAAUUAGGGAUGAUAGAAUUUAAAUUUAUGAUUAUUUGGUUAUUAAAUUUGAUAAUUGAAAAUAAGUUCUAUAAAAAAAAAACUCUAGAUGAUAUGGUUAUAUAUAUGUUAAUAUAUUUUUUACAUUUCAUAUUGUUUUCUUUAACAUUUUCACUCAAGCAUCAUAAUACAUAUAAACUAUUAAAUAAUUAUUUUUUUUUUAUCAUUUUCUUGAUUUAUUUUAUUUUUUAAUUUCAUUCCUUAUUAUUUUAUUUCAUUUAAUUUUUAUACUAGGUUUGGUAAUCAUUUUUUUGAUUUUGUUUUUUUGUUUUUUUAUCCCUUUUUUGAUUAAUUUUAUUUUUCAUUGUUUUUUUUUAUGAGAAUUGGUUCUCAUUCAUUUGAUUAUUCUUUGUUUUGUUUUGUUUUUUUUUUUUAAUUUCAGGUUUUUGGAUGAUUGAGAAUUUUGCUUCAUGAUUUUUUUUGUGUUUGCCUUCUACGGAGUCAUCUCGGUCUCAGAACCCGGGUCAUGUAUUUCAAAGAUUAGCCUGAUUUCAUUUUGAUCUUUUUAGGUUUUUUUUUUAUUUCAUCCUUCUAUAUUAGGUUAUUGGGCGCACCUUGAGUUUCAUGGUUUUUUUUUUAUUUUCUUUCUAUGAGGGAUUAUCCCGAUCUAAUAUCCAGGAUUGCAGAUUAAUCAAGUUAACCCGAAUUGACUUAAGUUUUUUUUUAAUUGUUUUUUUUUAGUUUUUUCUUUUAUCAUUUAGUUUGUUCUAGAGUUAACCUCUAUUUUUUUAUUCAAUUUUUUUUGUAUGGGGUCAUCCCGACCUCGUAUGAUGCUAUAAAAUUGAUAAGUUGACUCGAGUGAAUUUUUUUUAUUUUUAUUUUGUUUAUCCUUCACGUUCUUUAUUUUCCACAUUGUGCUCUUGAUUUACUGAUCUUUAUUGAUGGCCCGAUUAGAUGGUCUAACAUCAAGAGUUCUAGACCUAUAAUCACAUGGUCUCCCCUUGAACCUUAUGUGCUAAAAUGGAACGUGGAUGGAUCUUCUAUUAGCAAGCCUGGUUAAAUGUGCAGGUAUUAAUGGGGUUCUUCCUGAUAAAAAAGGAUUGGUACGUAUUAGGUAUUUUCUCUUUUCCAGUCGGGAUCAAAGAAUCUAAUGAAGCUGAGCUGUUAGCAGUGAUUAAAGCUUCAGAAUAUCUUCAUCUAUAGUAAACUUGUUUGGUGUGGGAAUUAUAAUUGAAUCUCCACUUCCUCCAUUAGGCAGUACUGGAGAUUCCAUGAGCUCUUCAUUCAUGGGUUCAGUGUCUUCCUCUCAUACCUCAAGGGAUGCUAAUCACAUGGCUGAUGGACUUGCUAAACGAAGUGUCUCUAGAAAUUACGAGUUUGCGAUUUUGCUGAGGAAGAUACUGAUAUAACUCUUGAAGAAGCUGAUUGAUAUUGGCAUCGAGGACGAUACAGAGGCAGGGGCUGGGUCUUUGAUUGUUUUGUUUGGUCUUUUGAGCUAUCUAGGGCAUUGCGUGCAUGGUUCUUUGUUGCUUUUCUGUUUUUACUGCCUUGCAGACCCAUAUUCUGGUCUCUGUUUUGCCUUUUAUAGCUAGGUUUAAUUUAUUUUUCUUAUAAAAAAGGGUACCAUUUUACUUUAGAAAAUAAAACAAAUAAUUAUUAAUUCAUAAUAAAUAACAGUUAUAAACUAUUAAAUAGAUUUAUAUACAUGUAUUGCACUUUAAAAAAUCAUCCUAUCCUUUUAUAAUUUAACUAAUUGUUAGGCAAUUAAUAUUAAUUAGUGGAAUUUCAAUUAAUUUUUUUUCUUACUUUAUAAAAGAAUUUUUUUUUUAAGUUGUUAAAAAGUCAUUUUUAAGUGGUUACAAAUAUAAGUUUAAACUAAAAAGUGUUUUUACUUGGUGCUAUCAUAAAAUGUGUCUUAUUACUUGGUGGCACUAAUAAAAUUAUAAUGAAUUUAAGUAACCAUAUCAAGCAAUCUAUAAGAUAUAUUUAUAUACUAGUGCAUUAUAUAAUGUAGAGCCGAAUAUAUAUUCGGCACUACAUUAUAUAUAUAACGAGUAUUCGGCACUACAUUAUAUAACAAGUGGAGUCGUUAUAUAUAUAAUGUAGUGCCGAAUAUAUAUUCAGCAUUACAUUAUAUAACCCACUUGUUUGAGAUUUUUUGUGAGCACUUGAUUUAUGAAAUCUAACAACUGAAAUAUUUGAUAAGUGAUAUUAUAAAAAAUUUUGAUAAGAUUUUUCGAUAAGAUUAGCAUGACUAAAUAAGUAAUUCACAACUAUAUCAAAAUUUUAUUCUUGAUGAAAUCUAAUGAUCGAAAUAUUCGGUAGGUGAUGUAAUAAAAAUGUUUCAAUAAGAUUAACAUGGCUCUUAAAAGGUAAUUAACAACUAUAUUAGAUUUGUGUCUUCUAGAUAGAUAUCGAAAUUACUUAUCAAUGCAUGAAUAAAAUCCAAUAUUGAAAUAUUUGGUAGGUAUUGUUGUGGAAAUUUUGGAUAAGAUUAGCAUGACUAAAAAGGUAAUUCACAACUAUACUAAAUUUGUAUUUUCUAGUUUUAUUUUUCCUAAAAUGGUUUCAUAAAAAAUCUAAAAUGAGUGAAUUAUUUAGUGUAUUGCUAAUUUUACCGAAUUCAUAUAUUGAAAUCUUAUCUGUUAACGAACGAAAUUCGAUGAUUGAUAUAUUCGAAAAAUAAUGUCGUUCAAACUUUUUGAUAAGAUAAUCCCGAUAGAAAAGGUAAUUCAUAUAAAUACUAGAUUUUUAUUCUCAAUUAGGCAUAAAAUAUUAAAGUUAAAAAAUCAAACUUUUCCUAUUUUGAUUAAUUCGCACACCUAUGACCAGCAGGAUACAACUUUUCAUGACCAACACCAUCAAGGGCACAUUCGUAAAUUAAUAAACCAAAGAGGCACCAACGUUAUAGUUUCCCUCCUCUUCGAAAUGCCACCAAUUUCCACCCCCUAACUACCAAGAAUACACCACAUCAUUACCGUCCAAUACACUAACAUAAACCACGUGUACGUCCAGAAAUAAAGAAUCACAUCAUUUAACCAUAGACCUAAACAGUACCAUAACAUGAAGAGACACCAAAGGUAACUGUAACUAACUGCCAUUUUAUAUAUUUUUUUGCCUCCACAACUCUUUAAAUACGCCUUUGAUUUGCUUGAUCCUAGCACAACAAUUAAUCACAAGUAAUUAGCCCUUUAAUCUCUUUGUUUUUGUUCUUAAUCCCAUUUUUCUUGAUUCACCAUGACUAACAACAACAACAACAACAAUAACAAGGAUGCUGCUGCCAUCCCUGAUAAGGCCAAUGAGCAUUCAGAAGCAGCCAACAGCCCUAGAAGAAACCUCAACGAUCAAGAGGAGGCUAUCGCCCCACCAAGGCCAACAGUCCAACGGUCUACUGUCGAAACCGGUGGACCUUCUUCUGUUUCUGGUCCUGCCAGGCCGGCAGGAACUGAAGUUGGUGCAUCUCCUGCUGCCGUGACUUUAACUGGUGGUGCUAGCCCAUCAACUCCUGUAAGAAUUGGAGGGAGUGGUACUGCUGCUGUUGAUCCCAGUACUGUUGCUGCUACUGUAGUGGCUGGAGAAGGGUCGUCCUUGAGAAAACGAUCUGGAAAGGGUGAAGAGAGCAGUCCUCAUGUGUCCAAGAAGGCUAAGGGAGAGAUGGACAUUAAUCCUGACGCUGAACCGACGUGCUCUACAUGUGGCCGAACAUUUGCCUCCUGGAAGGCGGUAUUUGGUCAUAUGCGUGCACACCCUGAUCGCGGCUGGAGAGGUGCCUUCCCCCCUCCGGAAUGGUCUCCAGAAAAGCCUAAUGACCAGCAGGGAGAUCAAAGUGCUCUACGAAGCCAAUUAGCACCAAGGCUGCUAAGUUUGGCAAUAGACACUCUAAAUCAGAUGAAGCACGAUCAAGGUCAUGAGGCUGGUUCUUCGACAAAUCGAAGAAACUUUGAUUUGAAUACGGAACCACCGAGAGAAUCAGAAAGUAAUUCUGGAUCUUCUUCUCCCCCAAGCAGUGGAAACCGGUUUGAUCUUAAUAAACCUCCGAAAGCUGAUCAUAACAAUGGCAACGAGGGAGCAUCCAAAUAAAUUAUAAUUAGGCUGCUCAAAGAUGUUUUUAACCUAUGUUUUAUUACUUGCUUUUAAAUCAUGCUCAUUUGAGUAUUAGAGAUUUAGAGUUGUAAUAAAUUAUUUGUCCAUUUAGUGGAAAUAUGAUCGCAUUUAGAUGUUCUUCAUUUUCAUUUUCUUUUUCCUUUUGUUUUAAUAAACUCUUGAAGGAAAUUCUUGUUAUAUAGAUAACAAGAAUGCUGGGAACUUGUUUGUACUCGAUAUGGCUUCCUUCAAAUUAUCUCUUUGUUUUAUUCCCCCCUUCCAUGCUUUUGUAACAAAAAAGUGUGAAUUAAGUGCAUUUCUCUUUUCUGUUCUUUCUGUCCAACGUACGUGAUGAUAUUUAAGGAGAGCCAUCAUGUAAAAGAUGUUAGGGUUAAUUCUUGAAGCAUCUUGGUGACUACUCUCUUAUAACUCUACACAGUCCACCAUACAAUAAGCAAUAUUCUAAAUGCCAUGAUAAUUUUACGCCUAAACAAAGAAGUCCCAGAUGGAUUACUAGCAUUACAAAUUAAGGGAAUUGACUUUUUUCUGAGAAAAUUGUGAAGAGUAGUUUCAUCUUCUGCUUGUAAUUUCUUGAAACCGGCAUGCCAUGCCAGUCCAACUGGAUAAACUGCGUGUUUGAACGUAGAACGACUCGGGAAUAUCAACAGAAUAUAUAGGUUUUAACUCGAAAACAUCUUGUUUGUCAGAGUAGAAAUGUGUUCCAUUAAUUGAUUCGAUUCGUGCUAUAGGUAGGAGCGGUGAAGAGAUUAACAUCUGGACAUUUCAAUCACAGUUCUUGAUUAUACACAGACCUUUUAGACUUUCAAAAGACAUUGAUCGUUGAUUUAUCGGCUAACGUUAAGAUUUUGAUGACAAUCUUCAUCUUCGUUCUUCAUACUUUGUAUUCUUUUCUUUUUCCUCUGAAAUUAAGAAAGUUGCAUAUAUGUAUUGGAAACACAAAGUACUACGUCCAUCGAAGGUUGGGGUAAUAGUUUUAAGUCACUUGUUUCUCCGUGUAAAAUUCGUUAAAACUGUUUCCUAUCAUCCAUUUUUACCCUAAAACAUAAGGACAGAGAAAUGAAAACGAUAAAUAAAUAAAAUCUUAUUUGUAGAAAUAAUAUUAAUUUAAUGCCAUAAAUUUAUAAAUUACUUCUAUGGCAAGGGAUUGCGUGAUUAGCCACCUUAGUUUUGUGAAGUUCUUACAAAUAUCACUUAAUCGAAUAUUUCCAACUAUAAUUUUAUAUGUUUUUAGAUUAUUUAUGUGUUGAAGUUAAAUAUAAUAUUUUUUUAAAAUAAAAAAUAUUUUUUAAAAUAAUUAUUACCGUAUUCCGAACUUUAAAACCAUCUAAAAUGAGAAAAAAUCUAGUUAUAGAAAAAUAGGAUGUUUUAAGAAAAUAUUGAUUUCUUACGUGGAGCCAUGCUGCUAAAAAAAAAAAAAACAUUUCAUUGUGAACAUAAAUAUAACUUCAAUAAUCACAGUUUAUUUAAACAAUCAUUUAUUGACUUAAUUAUUGAUUAUCAUGCAUGGUCAUAUACACUAUAUUUGUUGAUAUCUUACAACCCGGUCAAAGUUUUCGAUUCAAUUAUGGAAACAUAAUUGUUUUUUCUUUUAUUUUAAAAAAUAAAAAUUGAUUCAAAAUGUUCGAAUAGACUGAUGUUUUAAAAUUCAUAAAUAGCAUCCAAAUCUCUCUUCCUUACCUUUAUAUGUUAAAGACUUAAUUAUUUCAUUAAUUAAUUUAAAAUUUAAAAUUAUGAACACCAUCUUACAAACCUCUCACCACUGCAUUAAUUAUGCUCAAGUUCAUUAGUUUAAUUAGAUAAAAUGAGAGCAUAAAUUUUUCUAACUGUGUGGUCAACUAUGUUUUUACAUCAUGUAAAGAAUUAUUUUAAUUUAAAAUUUUAAAAUUUUAAGCGAAAUAUGAUAAAUAAAUUUAUAUUACUCUUUAAUACUAUAUUACAAAAUUAGAAUUAUCUAUACUUGAUUAAAAAGUUGAUUGUAUUCGUUGCUCUAAUUAAGCAUAGAAUCUCUUGAAGCACAUCAACACACCUGACUACACAAUGAAUUGCAUUGAAAAUUAAUACUUUUACUUUGUGAUGAUAAUGUACGUAAUUGUUUAACAAUUUAUAUUAGGUGGAGAAACAUCAAUAUGACUUUAUAAAUACUACUAAAUUAAUUAUAUUAAAAUAUUAAUAAUAAUUUUAUCGCAAAUAUGUAUUCUAAUCAAAAGAGUGAUUGAUUUAACCAACCAAGAAACCGAAAAAAAACAUUACGAACUCUUUUUUUUUUAAUUCAAAUUCAUUUCAUUUAAAUCCCAUAUUUUAGCUAUAAUUAAACACUCCAGUCACAUUUAGGCUAAGUUUGUUUUCCGGAAUUCACUUUCCGGAAAAUCAUUUUCCAAACUUUUCUGUGUUUGUUUGACAUUAGAAAAGUUGGUCAACGGAAAACACUUUCAAGUCAAAGAAAAAUUUAGUUUGAUUUCCAUGAAAGUGUUUUCCUGAAAAAUUUGGGCUGAAAACACUUUCCGGAAGUUGUGAAAAAUUUAGAAAUGUCAUAUUAUUUGUUGAUUCUAUGAAAUUUGGUUCUCAAACUUUUGAUUGAUAUAUAUAUUUUGUUUUGAAUAUUUAUUUUUUAAUUUCAUCUCUUAAAAUUUAAUUUUUAUAUUAACUUUGGUCAUCAUUUUUAUAAUUAUUAUUUGCUUUUCCCUUAUCAUUUUUUAUUGAAAUUUUUUAUCUAUCAAAUUUGAUCCUCAUUCUUUUGAUUGUUACUUAUUUUUUUUGAAAUAAUUUAUGAAAUGUUAAUUAUUAUUAUUUUAAUUUCUUCAUCUUUCAUUUUUUUAUUUUUUAGAUUUGAUUUCUAUUAUUUUGAUUAUUAUUUAUUUUAUUUGAGAUAAUUUAUGAAAUUAUAUUUUUUUUCAAUUUCAUUCUCAUUCAACUUUUUAAUUUGUAAGAUUUGUUCCUCAUUAAUUUAAUAAACUUGAGAAAAAUAAAACAUUAAUAAGUUAUUUUUCAGCUUAUUUUCAAUGACAUAACCAAACACUGGAAAAUAUUUUCCAACUUAUUUUCCAUUACACUACCAAACAUCAGAAAAUAAUUCACUUUCUUGAAAUUCACGGAAUUCACUUUCUCGGAAUUCAAUUUUCAAAAGGAAAUUACUUUUCAGCAAACAAAUGGAGUCUUAAUUAACUACAAAUUAUUGGAAAGAAUUCACUUCAUUAAUUCCCAUCAAAAUAUCCAGAUCGAACAAAAUGCUUCUUUACAUAAAGAGCUCUACAGAAUUAUAAGAACAAGCUUUGUUCGAUUUUUAAUUUUUUGUAUUUAGUAGCAUAGCUACGCUAUCUAGUGACGUUGAAUUUACUAUAUAUAUAUUAAGUUAAGCAUGCUCAACAUUGGUCAAGGAGUAAUUUAACUAUAUUUUAUAUUACAAGGAUUAAUUAAUUUAUUUUAAUAAACUAGCUAGAUAGAUUGAAUUAUAAUUAAAUAUCACAGGCAUUCAUCAAUCCAUAACCUAAUAUAAUUUUCAUGUACCAUAUUUUGACACAUAUAUACAUAUAUAUAGAGAUAAAACUGCUAAUAUUUUCUUGUAUAUACGUGACUCUCCUAGUGGCUAAUAAUAGCUCACGUCUCCAUGAAAGCCCCUCCAGAAGUGGCAGCAGUUAUCCCAAAAAAACACAAUUCAAGGUCCGAAACCAUCCUCUGCCAUAAGACCAUAAGCUCAUCUGGGUGAGGUUACAUGAGAGCACAAAAAUAAGAGAUAAAGAAUUGCCAAUGCAUGACGUUCUCAUAAAAAAAAAAAAAUAAACUCACCAUUAUCCUCAUCUCAUUAAUUCUUCUUCUUGUUUGUUUUAGAGAAUUCUCUUGUCAUUUUACUGGACUAGCUAGAAGAAUUGCCAAUGCAUGACCAUAAGAGUGUUUUUCCACCUUCCACUCUUCACUUACCUCUCUUUCUCGUCUAAAUCUUUCCAUUUUCUCUCUUACACGAGACAUCAUGGAUCCUUACAAGGUUCUUAUUCUACCCGUCUCCCUCUUCAAAACAAAUUCAUGUCUCUGCUUAAUACAAGUAAAAAAAAAAUGAUGUGUUUAAUUUUCUGGUCUGAAAUUCACAUAUAUUCCUGUUAAAUAUGUUUCAAACUCUCUUUGAUUUUCGUUGUUGGGUACUCUAUACAGUUUUGAUGUCUCUUUUUGAUGCGUUUUCAUGAUGCAGUAUCGUCCAUCAAGUUCUUACAACUCUCCGUUCUUCACUACAAAUUCUGGUGCUCCAGUUUGGAAUAAUAACUCAUCGCUUACUGUUGGUUCCAGAGGUAAAAGUUUGUCAUGCUUUUUGGACCUCUUUCAUGUCUGAGUUCAUUAUAGAGUGCUUUAGGUGAUGGCUUGAGCUUUAGUGAGGUAUUUUUACACCUUUUGGUUGAUUUGGGUUUUGUAGUUUCUAAUUCAGCUUACUUGCGAUGCAUUGAAACCAAGUUAGUUUGUGAAUACUAUGCAAAUCUCAGAGUUUGAAGUAGAACUUCUCUUUUGAAGGUCCGAUUCUGCUUGAGGACUAUCAUUUGGUGGAGAAACUUGCUAAUUUUGACAGGGAAAGAAUCCCAGAGCGUGUUGUUCAUGCUAGAGGUGCGAGUGCUAAAGGGUUUUUUGAAGUGACCAAUGAUAUAUCUCAUCUCACUUGUGCUGAUUUCCUUAGAGCCCCUGGAGUCCAGACCCCUGUUAUUGUCAGGUUUUCUACUGUUAUCCAUGAACGCGGCAGUCCUGAAACUCUAAGAGACCCCAGAGGUUUUGCUGUGAAAUUCUACACUAGAGAGGUAACAAUAUUUUUCUGUUUUUUGUUCAAGGACUUCUUCUUGUUUUUUCUCUUCCUCUUUGUACUGAAAAAUCACAGAAGUAGGUAAUUGGUAUCGUAUAUCUGUUGGCAGUCUAUCAUUUAUGUUGCAUCAAUAACUCAGAAUGUUCUUGCUGUUAUCUUGCCUUUAAAUUUUAAAAGGAUGCCCCCCCCCCCCGCAAUUCAUUGUGAGAUUCUAUCAAUAUGACAUGCUUAAUGCAUGCGGAGGGUGUUGCUUAUGAUGUGUUUGUUUAUCAAUACAUGACGGAAAACCUGAUCAAUGCAUAUCAUAGUAACAUGCCUCCCGUUGUAAAAUUGGAAUUGACUGUGCAUUAGAAGUUAUUGACUGAAAGGUUCAAUGAAUUCUGUUUCACCGCUCUCACCAGGGAAAUUUUGAUCUGGUCGGCAACAAUUUCCCAGUCUUCUUCAUUCGUGAUGGGAUGAAGUUCCCUGAUAUGGUUCAUGCUCUCAAGCCCAACCCUAAAUCACACAUUCAGGAAAACUGGAGGAUACUUGACUUCUUCUCACACCAUCCCGAGAGCUUGCACAUGUUCUCCUUCCUGCUUGAUGACAUUGGUGUUCCACAAGAUUACAGGCACAUGGAAGGCUCUGGUGUUAACACCUAUACUCUAAUCAACAAGGCUGGGAAGGCAUAUUAUGUGAAAUUCCACUGGAAACCAACAUGUGGGGUCAAGUCUUUAUUGGAAGACGAGGCCAUAAAAGUUGGCGGAUCCAAUCACAGUCAUGCCACACAGG
This 12434-nucleotide long non-coding RNA is filed under the name Populus trichocarpa (black cottonwood). Its description in RNAcentral is "long non-coding RNA (PTRI_LNC001466)". Lineage: Eukaryota; Viridiplantae; Streptophyta; Magnoliopsida; Malpighiales; Salicaceae. The record is from RNAcentral.